Molecule: non-coding RNA, 30 nt
Filed under: Homo sapiens (human)
Lineage: Eukaryota; Metazoa; Chordata; Mammalia; Primates; Hominidae
Source: RNAcentral
UGGGCCAAUUUCUGUCACUGCCCAGCUAGU